UAAAGCUCUUUUACCCGGGAUGAUAAUGACAGUACCGGGAGAAUAAGCUCCGGCUAACUCCGUGCCAGCAGCCGCGGUAAUACGAAGGGGGCUAGCGUUGUUCGGAAUUACUGGGCGUAAAGCGUGCGCAGGCGGUUUUCCAAGUCAGUGGUGAAAGCCCGGAGCUCAACUCCGGAAUUGCCAUUGAAACUGUGAAACUUGAGGACGAGAGAGGUGAGUGGAAUUCCCAGUGUAGAGGUGAAAUUCGUAGAUAUUGGGAAGAACACCGGUGGCGAAGGCGGCUCACUGGCUCGUUUCUGACGCUCAGGCACGACAGCGUGGGGAUCAAACAGGAUCAGAUACCCUGGUAGUCCACGCCGUAAACGAUGAUUGCUAGCCGUUGGGCAGCUUGCUGUUCAGUGGCGCAGCUAACGCAUUAAGCAAUCCGCCUGGGGAGUACGGCCGCAAGGUUGAAACUCAAAGGAAUUGACGGGGGGCCGCACAAGCGGUGGAGCAUGUGGUUU
Molecule: ribosomal RNA, 503 nt
Filed under: uncultured Hyphomicrobiales bacterium
Lineage: Bacteria; Pseudomonadati; Pseudomonadota; Alphaproteobacteria; Hyphomicrobiales
Description: bacterial SSU rRNA
Rfam family: Bacterial small subunit ribosomal RNA
Source: RNAcentral